Molecule: non-coding RNA, 95 nt
Filed under: Streptomyces sp.
Lineage: Bacteria; Bacillati; Actinomycetota; Actinomycetes; Kitasatosporales; Streptomycetaceae
Also listed under: 1 other name
Description: TPP sequence
Rfam family: TPP riboswitch aptamer (THI element)
About the family: Vitamin B(1) in its active form thiamin pyrophosphate (TPP) is an essential coenzyme that is synthesised by coupling of pyrimidine and thiazole moieties in bacteria. The previously detected thiamin-regulatory element, thi box was extended, resulting in a new, highly conserved RNA secondary structure, the THI element, which is widely distributed in eubacteria and also occurs in some archaea.
Source: RNAcentral
GUACCGGACACGGGGUGCCCCAUCUGCGGGCUGAGAUCACACCCGUUGAACCUGAACCAGUUCGUACUGGCGGAGGGAUGUCUUUCAUGCCAUUG